This 496-nucleotide ribosomal RNA is filed under the name uncultured bacterium. RNAcentral describes it as "partial 16S ribosomal RNA". It matches the Rfam family "Bacterial small subunit ribosomal RNA", at positions 28 to 506 of the family's 1533-position model. The record is from RNAcentral.
GAUGAACGCUGGCGGCGUGCCUAAUACAUGCAAGUCGAGCGAACGGACGAGAAGUUUGCUUCGCUGAUGUUAGCGGCGGACGGGUGAGUAACACGGGGAUAACCUACCUAUAAGACGGGGAUAAGUUCGGGAAACCGGAGCUAAUACCGGAUGAUAUUGUGAACCGCAUGGUUCAAAAGUGAAAGAGGGUCUUGCUGUCACUUAUAGAUGGAUCCGCGCUGCAUUAGCUAGUUGGUAAGGUAAGGGCUUACAAAGGCAACGAUGCAUAGCCGACCUGAGAGGGGGAUCGGCCCCCCGGGAACUGAGACCCGGCCCAGACCCCUCGGGGAGGCAGCAGUAGGGAAUCUGCAGAAAUGGGCGAAAGCCUGACGGAGCAACGCCGCGUUGGUGAUGAAGGUCUUCGGAUCGUAAAAAUCUGUUAUUAGAAAAGAACAUAUGUGUAAGUAACUGUGCACAUCUUGACGGUACCUAAGCAGAAAGCCACGGCUACCUACGU